Molecule: ribosomal RNA, 256 nt
Filed under: uncultured Pseudomonas sp.
Lineage: Bacteria; Pseudomonadati; Pseudomonadota; Gammaproteobacteria; Pseudomonadales; Pseudomonadaceae
Description: partial 16S ribosomal RNA
Rfam family: Bacterial small subunit ribosomal RNA
Source: RNAcentral
CGGCGGACGGGUGAGUAAUGCCUAGGAAUCUGCCUGGUAGUGGGGGACAACGUUUCGAAAGGAACGCUAAUACCGCAUACGUCCUACGGGAGAAAGCAGGGGACCUUCGGGCCUUGCGCAUCAGAUGAGCCUAGGUCGGAUUAGCUAGUUGGUGAGGUAAUGGCUCACCAAGGCGACGAUCCGUAACUGGUCUGAGAGGAUGAUCAGUCACACUGGAACUGAGACACGGUCCAGACUCCUACGGGAGGCAGCAGCG